Molecule: ribosomal RNA, 447 nt
Filed under: uncultured bacterium
Lineage: Bacteria
Description: partial 16S ribosomal RNA
Rfam family: Bacterial small subunit ribosomal RNA
Source: RNAcentral
AACGAACGCUGGCGGCAGGCCUAACACAUGCAAGUCGAGCGCCCCGCAAGGGGAGCGGCGGACGGGUGAGUAACGCGUGGGAACGUGCCCUUUGCUACGGAAUAGCCUCGGGAAACUGGGCGUAAUACCGUCUAAGCCCUACGGGGGAAAGAUUUAUCGGCAAAGGAUCGGACCGCGUUGGAUUAGGUAGUUGGUGGGGUAAUGGCCUACCAAGCCGACGAUCCAUAGCUGGUUUGAGAGGAUGAUCAGCCACACUGGGACUGAGACACGGCCCAGACUCCUACGGGAGGCAGCAGUGGGGAAUCUUAGACAAUGGGCGCAAGCCUGAUCUAGCCAUGCCGCGUGAGCGAUGAAGGCCUUAGGGUUGUAAAGCUCUUUCGUGGGGGAAGAUAAUGACUGUACCCCAAGAAGAAGCCCCGGCUAACUCCGUGCCAGCCGCCGCAGUAA